Molecule: transfer RNA, 73 nt
Filed under: Fasciola hepatica (liver fluke)
Lineage: Eukaryota; Metazoa; Platyhelminthes; Trematoda; Plagiorchiida; Fasciolidae
Rfam family: tRNA
About the family: Transfer RNA (tRNA) molecules are approximately 80 nucleotides in length.
Source: Rfam by way of RNAcentral
ACCGCGAUAGCUCAGCUGGUGGAGCAUGUGCCCGGUAUGCGGCGGGUUGCCGGUUCAAUUCCGGCUCACGGUA